Molecule: long non-coding RNA, 19894 nt
Filed under: Brassica rapa (field mustard)
Lineage: Eukaryota; Viridiplantae; Streptophyta; Magnoliopsida; Brassicales; Brassicaceae
Description: long non-coding RNA (BRAP_LNC000884)
Rfam family: U2 spliceosomal RNA (bases 5353-5547)
Source: RNAcentral
ACUCAUCGCACAAGGCCUUGGUUCCUUUACAGAUUCCGACAAGCCUCGACGUCUGCAGCCUGUGAGGCCAACAGCGACUUCCCCUGCUCGCUAGAUUCCACAAUGCGCACAGCUGCAUCAAUCACCGCCUUCUGGAACCUAUCAUCCUCCAUCUUUCCAAGGACCUCUCUAACAAAUUUAAAAUCCACACCACCAGUAACAAUCAGCUUCCCUACAAUCUCACCAAAGUUGUUUGGUGCCUUGGGGAGAUCGAUUCCAACGUCGUCCAGCAUAGCACCGAACAUCAAGCACCCAGUUUCAAGAUCCUUGGGUGUGACCACCUUCUUGGAUAGCAGAUACACCAAGAGACUAGCGAUGGGCUCAACAACAGGUGGGCUUUUCUCAAGGGCUAGAGUAAUUGCUUCAUUCACAAACUCUGCGUGGUAUGAAGGCGACGCAAGGUCCACCAAACACUGCAUAGCUUCAUCAAGAAGUCGGACAUUGAAAUACUCCUCAAGAAGCGACUUUGUUUUGCUCUUGAGAACUUCCUCGCUCAGCUUGGGAGCAGCACUAGCCUGUGGUUUCUCUACCGGAGCCGGUACAGCCACAGGUGCAGCUCGCUGAACCGGUUGUUCUGCUGGGCGUGAGCUGCUGCCCUGUAACAGGGCGCUUGUCUUACCACUCAUGAACCCGCUGCUUCCUUGAGGCAAGAGCCUCGUGUUCAUUGAGGUGGACUUGCCCAUUGCUGGAGAAUGCAGAGGUCCAGGCCCGUCGCGUCUAGACAUUGACCUUGUCCUGGGAACCUCCCAGUUAUCAUUGUCCCCCACAGGCGCUCCUGGCAUCCUUCGCGUCCCAGGCAUACCAGGCAUCAAGCCACCUGCACCAGGUCGUCCUCCAGGGUAGAUAGGGCCAGGACUCAGAGGCCCGCUACUAGAAGCCAUGCCCUUUCUCAUGUUUGCGGUGGCGCCUGGUCGGAGACCCAUAUUCUUCUCAGCGUCAGAAUGGAUUUCUGUUAUAGUCUUUGCUUUCAUCUGCACAAGAACAUUAGAACGGUUAAACAAUGACGUAACUUUUAAUGAAUCUUGAGAGUUUGAAGGCUAGAGAUACCUCUUCACGCCUUGGAACCCAUCCAUUAGAGCGCAGAUCGAUGAUAUUCUGAACCAUGAAUCUCAGACGCAGUUCCAGAUGAGGAUUCUUUGACAGAUCCUGCAGGCGUUUGAAGUAUGCAUCAUUGAUACGUUUUGACUUCAUGUUUCCAUCAAGCUGUUUCCCAAUGGUUUUGAAGAAAUGGCAAAUAGCUUCAACAUUCUCCUCUGCUGGACACGCUUUCUCAUCAGCCCCCAGAAGCUCCUAUGCUCAGAACAAAAUAAUAAAAGGUUAACACAUAUACUACCAAAGCAAACAAAAAAUGUUUUAAGAAAAUGUGUGGGAGUCAACCUGAACGAUGUGAUGAACAAUCUUUUCUGGAACCAUCUUCUGCUUGAGAAGCUCACCAAUCAGACGAAUGUUUCCUAGGGUCUUGAGCUUCAGCAACUUCUCUUUGUCGCUACGCUCAGCCUCCUGAUCUGGAGCACUCAUCUGUUUAAGCUCCUCCCUCAGAUUGGAAGCGCCUUCAAAGGCCUCUUGGCAGAUGUUCAGCAGAACCCUCUUGAAUGUGAUCUCUUUACCCCCAGGCUCUUCAGGUGGGAAGGUGGGUAGCUUGUCGUUGAUGUCAGAGCACAACUCAGCGUACAUUGGGCAGAACGUUGGCUCAAGGACAGCUUUGUCAAAGAUAAGAGUUAUCACACCCUGCAAAUGAAAGAGAAUAACACUCGUUAGCUACGCGAAGAGCCUGGAUGAUUUAAACAAGACUUUACUUAUACUCACCUUUAGGAUAUCAGCAGAUGUGAUGCCAGCGUCAAUGAGUUGGCCCUUGAGAAGAUCAUACUUUUCAGGGGUAAGCUUGUUCAGUAUCCUACACAAGAAAAGGAUUGUAUUUGUCAGUGUGCAAGCACGAUUUAAAGAUUCCAUGUUGUCAGUAAAGUCUAGACCAGGCAAUACCCUUUGACAGUCUUCAGGACACGGUCAUUUUCAGAAAGGUUUCCUCUUCUAGCUGACCAAGGUACUUCAGCUUUGACGAGGACAGGAGCUGGUCCACCCUGCUUCCACACCAUAUACAAGUAAGAAAGUAACAUAAACCAUGCCAAAAGUGAAAAAAAAAAACAUAGAAGAGGAAAGUAAAAAACACAUUAAUUAAGUGAAUAAUUACCCCUUGGUUGGAUGCUUGCCCCCUAGGUUGGCCUUGACGAUUGUAUUGGUUUGCUUCAACAUACCUGGAAUCUCUAGCUUCACGGAGAUUCUCCCACGACCUUUCUUCCCCAGAGGGUGGUGGUUGAGCAGCAGAACGGCUGCGCCAAUUGCGAGUGUCUGGCUCAGAGAAGCGACUUGCGGAUUGAACCGGAACCUAUAGCAUUAAAGAUUAACAGAUCUGUGUUUGAAAUUUCUUAUAACAAUGGAAAAGUGAUGGUGCGACAAAAGCAUACCACAUUGCUUACGACAGUUUCUCCACGUGCCCAAGUCUGUUCCUCACCAAACAGUUCUAGUUCAGUUUCCCGUUUGACUUUCAGAAUUUCAUCAGAGAGUUGAGCGGUCUGUGUAUAUACAGAGACGUCAGUAACCUCAAAUAAACAAAAACAAUAGCUCAAAAAAGACCAGCCUUGAUUCUACUCACCUCUUUAAGUUCCAGAAGCUGUUCACGGGUGUACUUCACACGUUCACGGCCAUCGAACCUCGAGUCUCCACCCUGAAACAAAAACGUAACCGAGGAUGAAUCUUCACUAACUAAGACUCGAUAAACAAAAAUAUACACAAAGGACAAGAGCCAAAAAUGAAUUAUUCGUGAAUUCUUAGGCUAAGAUGAUUAUGAAUAAAUAGAAAUGUCAAUAGGUCCUUUAUGAGCAGAUAGCAGCUAACAUAAUGCCCACCUAAAAGCCUACAUAUCAUUUUACGUCCAUAUUUACAGCAGCUACACAUACUUGCGUGCGCCGCUAAGAAUCAGGACAACACAAAUUGCUACCUUAUGAAGUUUAAUUACACAUGAUUCUAUGUGGUCGGAAAGCAUCCAAUAUCCAACAUGAGCUUCAGUAGUAAUUUUAUUACACAAGGCACUGAAACUCGCAAAAUCAAAAAGCUCUAAGCUAAUUAUGUAUGCUUCAGACACGUGAUUCUAUGUGGUCGGGACCCUAGAUCCAGAAUCAAGAGGGGAAGCUAAAAAAAAGGAAGGAACCUUGAAGGGGAAAGAGGAAGGAGGAGCACCGCCAUGAGGACGAAGGAGAGGUAGAUCGGAAGAGGAAAGAGAUCCAAAGGAGAUGGACGAAGAAGAGGAUGAGGAACCAAAGAUUCUGUUUCCUCUACCGCCACCAGGUCUCAAGCUCAAAACCGAUUUAUCUCCCUGCUGCAUACCGAGAUCUAAAUCACCUGAGAUCGGAUCCAAAAUCUCCAACAACCAAAAAAAAGAACAACGAAACGAUAGAAGAAGAAACUCUUCUCAGCGACGAUCAAUCCGAGAUUCAAAGAGAAUCAACGGAAAGAGAUCGGCUUUUGUGUGCGUUGUCUCUCUUUCUCUCCUUGUCGAAGAAGAGAUUGAGAUGAGAAGAAGAAGAAGAAGUCGAGAAGGAGACACAAUCUCUUCUCUUUAUUACCGUCUUAUUCCUUUUUUUUUCCCUUACCGAACCAUAUAGCCUUUUUGCUUUUUUUCUUCUGUUAAAUUACUGUUGUGUCCUUGCUUUGUUUUUAGUUCCGUCACCUAACAUACAUUGGUUUUUUCGUCAUUAUACUUCUAAGCAUUUCUAGUUUAAAAUGUGAAAAGGUGAAUGGAGCUGCCUUGGCUCGUGUACACCACCAGCAAGUCAACAAGUACACUUUGUUCUUCUAAUCAUGAAAGACUUCACCAACAAUUAGUAAUCUUGCAAGUUGCAGUUCCACAUCUCAAUAUCUUUAAUUACAACCAACUGUCUGUAACAAACUAAAGAGGGCAUUUGUUGACACAAGCAAGAGAGAAUGGAACAACUUGAAAGCGGUUUAUAGGCUCCUCCUUUGCGUUUUGAAUAUAAUAUUUUCUCCUGUUGAAGCAAAGGUUCUCCUGAUACCAGCCAGUUUAAAAUCUUCAUGAGAUUGAGAAUUCAGCAGGCUGUGGAAUGUCGACAUCCUCAAACUCGUUGUCGUCUGCACAAGAAAGAAUGAGAUUCAAUUCAUCAUGCCAUUCAUAGAGAAAUAUAAGACCGAUGGGAUUUAAACAGGGAUCAGAUUCAGCUAUAUCCAGCCACGAAGAUCUUUUAGAGAGAAUGCAUCUAUCCAUACAAAUCAAUAGAGUUUGAAGGGUUCACAAGCAUAUAAAAAAUUUUGGUUACUAGUUAAUCAAAAUGAAUAUUCAAUGACGAGUAGUCCGUGUUACCUAUAUGCUACUAAGGUCAAUAUAUAAGGAGCAAAGGGAAAUGAGGGAUCACCUUUUCUCAAAGUCAGAGCCAGUACUGCAUCGUUCUCAACCUGAACAACAAAACAAAGAAUAUUAAAGCGAACAAGUCACAGCCACAACUAUAAAAAUACGCAAUUGGAGGCUGUGUCCACUGUUCAUAUGAGUAACUUGAACAACAAUUGUUAUUCAUUCCCUGUACAUGAUCACAACCUUGUAGCUUAAUAUUACGCAAUCGGAGUUUUCAUAUGAGUAAAGAUCAUAGUAGCUCUUCCUCAAAUUGAACAAUGGUUAUUCGGUCUCCAACAUGAGACAACAGUCAAACGUUUGAUACCUUCUGCUCCGCUAGAGAUUUCGAAUCCUCUAAUACUUCCUCAGUAGACAAUAAGACCAGACGCUGGUUACUAACUGGUUGCUCAAUGAGGGUGAACAGUUUCUGCUUCACAUCCAAAACAGUCUCGGUCGGAUCGCAUUGGAUAAAGUAAGUGGCUUUCAUGCGCUUCACACGAAUAUACAUUGCCUGCAAAACAAGAUCAACGCACACUAAUCAAUACCCUAUAACCAACAUGGCCAGAUUCAAAUUCUCAGCUCAAAAAGCUCUUAACUUUCCCAGUUAAAUAAACAAAGAAUGAAACCAACAAAGUAAAAAGAUAUAUGUAAUACCAUGGCAAGAAUCUGGCUUCUUUAUUUCGACUGUCAAUGUAAAACUCUCUCACUCACCUCUCUGUAUAAGGUAAAGGAAGAAAGAACUAUUGGUGGCUUGUUUGACUUUUAGGUUUAAGACUAUUGUCGGUUACAAACCCGCUGAAAGAGACAGAGUGUUUGUUUUAUCUAACUCUCUAAAAGUCCCACAUCGGUAACCAAACAAACAUUUGAGGGACGAGAAGCAGUAUAAAGGAAGAUGCCAAGCAACGUAACAACUCAUACCUUUCUCGGCCUUUUGGCUAAGAUCAAGUGUAGUAUCUGUUCUUAUCAGUUUAAUAUCUGAUAUGUGGCCCAUCGGGUCACACGAUAUUAACUUUAUUUUUUGAGGGAGAAGGCCCGUUAAGAUAGCUUGCUAUCUGGGCUUUCAAGAGUCGCCCAUGCGUUGCACUACUGCACGGGCUGGCUCAACCCGCCAAUUUUAACAGUUUAAUUUUUGGUCCCUCGGCUUAUAAGAUUUUAAACGUAUUAUCUCUAAUUAAUCGGAAUUGUACUUUUGGCCCCAUUCAAGUGAUUAAUAUUCUAAAUGGGCUAAUGGGCCUACGUGACUAUAUUUAAGUGCUAAAAGUGGACAAAAACUAAACUACUUUAGCUUCUGCUUACAGUUGUUGUCCUAAAAGUAUCUAAACCGCGUUAAAUUUCGAAUCAUCCUCGAUCUCGUCGUUUCUUGUUUUCUGAUCUCGUAGGCUAAUCGGGAGAGAGAGAAGAUGGUGGAGAGAACGUUGAGUCUAGGGUUCGGAGAAACCUCAGGGGUUAGAGAAACAAUGUGGGCGCAGCAAGAGCUUCUUCAGAAGAUCAGUCAAGAGCUCGACGAUGAGCGAGAAGCCUCGUCAUCAGCUGCUUCGGAAGCCUUGUCGAUGAUCCUACGCCUCCAGGGAGAGAAAGCAGCGCUGGAGAUGGAGACUAGUCAGUACAAGAGGAUGGCGGAGGAGAAGAUGUGCCACGCGGAGACUUCUCUGACGCUCUUCGAGGAUCUGAUUUACAAUAAGGAGAUGGAGAUCGCUUCUCUCGAGUUUCAGGUUUAGGCUUACAGAUGCAAGCUGCUCAGCGUUGGGGUCUCUGAUCCAGCUGUCGUGGAGAACAAGUUCCCGUAAAAUCUCGUCUUCUUUGGUGAUCCCUCUCGUGUAAAUCAAAAGAGAAAGAUGAAACGAAAUCUAUCGGUAAAUGCUUUAUGUUUUCAUAGUUGAGACUUGAGAGAUGAUGAGUAUGAGUUUAAUGUCUUGUCUGUUGCAGAGUCCUUUUGAUGGUAUGAGCAGUGAGAGAAGGAGCCUGCUUCUGUCUGAUGGUAACGGUGACAGUUCUUUAUCUCUUGGUGAAGACUUGAGUGCUUAUUGGGAAGAGAUGAGGAGAAUAGACGACCAUGUUCGAGAGAUUUCAGACACGAGAGAUUCUCCCAAGGAGUCUAAAUGGCCUUUGCUUAGGCACAAGUCUAUGUCACAUGCGUUGGUUUCACAGGUCAGCAAUACUAUACUCAAGUCAGCCAAGAGUGAUGUCAGUUCGAUAAUGGAGAGGAUGAAGAACCCUGAUAGAUUGUCUGCCGCAAAAGAUGCUUUGUCUCCAAAUCUCCAGGACAUCUUCAAGAUUCCGAGGACAAAGGAAAGCCUUACAAUCAUCGAAGAAGAAGAGGAAGUCGAAGAAAGAAAUGUAAGUAUUGAGGGAACUAGUCUUUUGAUAAAAACAAAUUUGGUCAAAGUGCUGAUAAUGUGUAGAAGGAGUCACAGGUUAGAGGGAACAUGGAGAGUAGUAAUUACGAAAGGGAAUUGAGUAAGCCACCGCCAAGCAUCAAGGAAGAACAUAUGAGUUUGUUAAAGGAGAUUAGAGAACAGCUCAAUGCAAUGCAGUCUGAGAUGAGAAGCUUAAGAUCAGAACUGCAUCAAACUCAACAUGUGUCUCAUCUGGAGGAGGAUCCAGCCCUUAACUCAAUUCAAGAGGUAAUCACUUCUCUUUCUACUUGGUGAGAGAUGUCUAAAUAAUAUUCAGAACUAAACAUUUUGUGUUGUUUCUUGAAACAGGCUAUGAUUCACUUCUGGCUUUAGAAGCUAUAAUGCCUGGGAGUGGUUCUAGUUUCCCAUAUACAGACCAUUUGUAUGUUACUUAAGGGAUGUAAAAAGAAACUGAUAUGUAACUGCACUGGCAUUAUUGUGAAAACAAAAUCUUUAAAUCUCUCAUGAAAGUAUCUAAAGUUGGUCCACAAAGGUUAGGAUGUCAUGUUAGUUAGCGGAUACACAAAAUGCAUGAAGGGUUAUCGAGAUCAAGAGUAGUGCCUCUCAAACACUUGAAGUGGUAGACAUGACCACAAGCCAGCACGCACGCUUCUUGCAAGCUCCGCAAAGAAGCAUUAGGUCGUUCUGGAUCAGAGGCUAGAUCUCUGUCGCAUAAAUCGCAUACGUGUCCAACUUCCUCAGCAUCAAACACCUUGUCAAGCUCUGCUUAAAAAGCCCCAAAAAAUAUCAAACACAAGAAAAAAGCAUAUAGCUCUCACUCAAGUAUUGAAUAGAUUAUUACCAUCGCGAAUCUGCGGUUUACUCUGAACCUGAGCAUUCACAGUCUUGUCGAGAAGAAGUUGGACCUCUUUAGAGAGCCUUUGAAGAUGAUGAGAUGAAGUGGAAGCAGAUGAUGAUGAUCCUGACGCUUUGAGCUCAGAAGUGGCUUUCUCAAUCUUCUCUUGAAGCUUCAGGAGCAUCUCUCUACUUCCAUCGUCUCCUUUUGAAUCCAUGUUUCGCACGCACAAGUCGACGAAACUUCUGUAAUCGAAGACAGUCAAGCAAACAAUUAAAAAGAAAAAAACAAAGUCAAAUUUUGUUUGACUUGUAUAAUGCGAGAAGGCGCUAUUUGGUUGAAACUUGUGUAACAAGAUAUUACGUUUACGAAGCAAGAUUACAAUUAGGGUCCAAACCAAGGAACCCAAAGCGUCCGCCGUUAGAAUCCACAAAGCAAAAUCGUAACUUUACGGAUCGCAAUGAAGAAAUCAAUCAAACGACGUUUAUCAGAAAUCAAAAUCGAAAAAAAAAGAGAAGGUAUAUCAACGAACAGUGUUGAAAAGGGAGGGAUUAUGUUGCUGCUGCUGUUACUUUGGAGUGAAAUAUAUAUGUUUAAACAAGCUAUAAUCGACAGCUCGUAUCUAUGUAUCUCCACAUAACUAAGCUUUUUUUUAAUUAAGUGAUUAAGGAGACCGACACGUGGGCUGAAAACGUAGGCUGCUAACACGAGGCUAAUCUGGAUCCACAUGCCAGAAUAUCCAUGUAUAUUAAAAAAAAAAGAUUAAGGGACUACAAAAAGAACAGAGUUCUCAUCAAUGUUCAAUCUAGGCAUGCCGGUCCGGUUUAUUCGGAUAGUACGGAUCGGUUAGUUCGGAACUCAGUUAGUUCAGAAUUAUGUUAGUUUGGGUUGGUCAAAAUUUCACCGAAAAAGUUUGGUUCUGUUUGGUCCGGUUAAUUUGGUCCUAAAAUAUUUAACCAAAGGUUUUUGUUUUGCGGUUAAUUCGGUUAAAUUUUCGGUUUAAAUUAAAAAAGUCAAAAAUGGUUAAUUUCUGUUAGUUGUUAUUUCGGUUUGUAUUUUGGUUAGUUUGGUUAGGUUCGUUCGGUUAUUUCGAUUCAGAUUUUGGUUUAUUUGAUCAGUUCAGUUCGGAAUUUGGUUAAAAUUGGUACUUUUUAGAUUUUUUUUUAGAAAACUGAACUUACCGAUUAUCGAACCAAAUAUAAGAAUUUUUUUUUAUCGAACUAAGAGAAAACCAAACUUUUUGGUUCGGUAAGUUUGGUUUGAUUAAAGUUCCCAGCCCUAGUUCAAUUGUUAAGAAGAUGUUAGUCACUUUAUAUGAGAUUACUAAUUAGGCGGAUGUCUAAACUGAUUUUUGAGUCGGCGAAGAAAAGAAUAUUUCAUUUUGGUUUGAUUUGCCGGCGAACGCAUGCGUACAGCAUUUACCGAAUUUAACCUUUGUUUUCUUAUGAAAUUUUUUUUAAAAUUAGUAUGAGCUUAAGAGUUUGCCUGGUUGUAUGCACUUUAUUGGGCUUUUCAUAAGCACCAGAAUUUCAUUAAACUAGUAUUUUUGUAAUUAAUUUGUUUAACCAGGUUGAAAAUCUGAUCAAGCUUCAGAAAACAAAUUUAGAGAGACAAUUUUUUAAAAAAAUUAAUGUUUAUGGACGACUGGUUCGGCUGUCCUAAAAUAGUAAGAAAUAUGUUUUCCUCCUAUUUGUAGACUACAAGUUAAAAACACUUGGUUUUUUUUUUGGAUUUUGUAAUUUACUACAAAUAUCCAUCAAACUCGAUCUUGUAAUAUUCCGCAUUUUUGGGCUAAUAAUCUCCAUGAAUAUAAAGGGUUCUUCUACCUUCAAUUCUAAUAAUUCACACACACACACAAACAAAAGACUAGACUUUUGGAUAAUUGAGAGCUUAAUGACCAAAAAUAACAAAAUUCUCGGACAGGAUCAGCUGUUGUACUUAAUCAAAGUAUCCUUAAUUAUCUCCAACUUACAUUUGACUGUAAAACCCACCACACAUUCACUCACUCACUUACACACCUAUACUUUAUAAUCUUCCUCCUUUCCAUAUAUGCAUUCCUCAUCAAACUUAACACCUCCAUAGAGAUUUUUUUUAUAACUCUCUUGAUGGCUGAUAAUGUCCAAGUAGUACCCAUUGAAGAACCAGCCUCGACCGCAACCGCCACAGCCACCGCAACAACCAAUGAGCCAGACACCAAAAGCUCCGAUCAAAUGGAGUCACAAAGCGACAAGCCACCCGUUGGAAUGUUGGUCACAAUCGUAAACCUUUGCGCCAUAGGUGUUCUUCCCAUCUUCACCUUCUUUCUUUCUCUCACACUCCUUGGCUACGCUGUGUGGCUCCUCUACAUGCGCAGCUACGAAUGCGAAGACAUCCUCGGUCUCCCACGUGUCCAGACGCUCGCUAGCGUCGGCCUCCUUGCCGUGUUCGUCGUCAGCAACGCGGCUCUCUUUCUCCGAAGGAAGUUUCCUAUGCCCGCACUCGUGGUGAUGGUGGUGAUUCUUUUGCUGAUGAUGUUCAUGGGUUUGGCGUACGCAGGAGUCAAUGAGAUGCAGAGCAGGCGGUUUCCGGCUACUGCGAGGUGGUUUAAGCUCAAAGUGAUGGAUGAUGUUAAUUGGAACAAUAUCAAAUCGUGUGUCUACGAUAAAGGAGCUUGCAACGAGCUUUUUUACCAAUAUCCUAAAGAGAAACCUUACAAUAGAAGAAAAAUGCCACCAAUAAAGGUUUGUUCAUGAUAGAUAUAUACAUACUUUGAUCUCAUAAAGUGCAACUGGUUCAUUCUAACAUGAUACCUAGGCCUGGGAAUUUUUCUUUUCUAGUCGAACCAAACAUAAAAUUUCGGUUUUCGAUUCAGUUUUGGUUAGGAUUUUGAUUCAGUUUGGUAGAUUAAAAAAUGGUUAUUGGUUUGGUUUGGCAAUGGGUUACUUUGAUUUUUCAUUUUUUCACAAAAAAAUACAACCAAACCAUAUUAAUUAUAACCAAGAAUCCUAACCAAACUAACUGAAUUAAACAAAUCUAACUGAAAUAAAAAACUUCAGUUAAGUUUGAUAAAAAAUUUAAAAACUGAUAUAACCAUAUACCAAGCCAAACCGUGCUAAUUCGGCAAAUUGAGGCUAAACCGAACAUGAAAACGUUACAUAUGCACAUGACGUUUUGUGAAACAUUUGUCCAAGAUUUUCAAAUAGUUUGAGACGACCAUUUUCCAUCUUUAAGCAUAUAUAUUAGUUGACAAAAGCUGUUUUGAUUUUUGUUGUUGUUGCAGAAUGGAUGUUGUAUGCCGCCGGAGACAUGUAACAUGGAUGCUUUAAAUGCGACGUUUUGGUAUAGAAGAAAAGACGAGGGCCCACCGUUGGAGACUGAGGUGCUGUAUGGUGGGAUGGGCGGAAUACUAAGCGACUGUGAGUUAUGGAGGAACGAUUGGAGCAUAAUGUGCUAUGAUUGUAGAUCUUGCAAGUUUGGAUUCAUUAGAUCUCUAAGAAGGAAAUGGUGGCAGCUUGGUGUCUUUUUGGUUGUCAUCUCUAUUCUUCUUCUCAUCUCUCACCUCUUGAUCUUCUUGGCCACCUUUUGGGAAAGAUUCAAGGGUCAAUAAUCAUCAUGGAGGUGGAGAUUUCUAUGUGGUAAAAUAAUUCAUUUGUUCUGUAUUCAUUUUAGUACUCAAGCAGGUGUUCCUUCAAGCAGAUCUUUAGCUCUUCAUCCUUUCUCUCUGUCUCUUUCUCUUUGUUCGGUUUAGUGUAAAGAAUGUGUUUGAAAUAAAGUACAAACAAUUGGUUUGAUUCAGAACUCAAAAAGAAGUUCUUGAGUCCAUUGCUGAAUCUUUGAAGCACGGGACUUGAAGGUUAGAACUUAAAAGCGUCAUUGGUCGUAUAUAACACUGGUCGUAUAUAACACGGAUGAGAAGGUCUAAUAUUUUGCAUGUGCAUGUGAAUGCAGCAAAUGUGGUAAACCAUGUUAAAUUUCUGUGUUGUUUUGCAUUUAUUCAUAUGUUUCCGCACAAUUUUCUCCCAUCCUUUAUACUUCUUCCGUUUUUAAUAGAUGACGUUUUAGUAGAAAUUUUUUACUCUAAAUUAGAUAACAUUUUAGUUUUCAAUGUAAAAUUUAUAAACUUUUUAUAUUAUAUGACUAUCUGUAAUUUGCAGUCUAAUUUAUUAUUAGUUAAAUUAUAUUUAGAAAAAUAAUUAAUGAUGUUUUUGAUUGGAAAAUAUAAAAAAGUAAAUGUUUUCUUAAUAUAGAAUAUAUGUGCAUAAUUUUAAAACGACAUCUAAUAAAAAGGGGAGGGAGCAAGAAACAAAAUAAAAUGUAACAAAGGAGAGCCACAAUGAAGAUACUUUGUUCUUUUAUUGUCCUAAACUACCAACAGAGGAGUGAUCAAGCUGGAUUAUUUAAGCUUCUUGGAAAUUAGGUGCACAUAUAAAUACUAUUAGGGAGAUAGAAAAAGUGGAAUACAUCUUUAAUAAAAAGGUCUGCUUUAAUAAAAAGGUGAAAUUCUACAUUUUGUUUCCCUGCUUGCAUCCUUCAUCUGUACAAAGAAUAGCCAAUCUUGGGGAGAGUCAUAGACAACAAACAAAAGGGUCUCUUCACACUCAAUUAGUGAGUGAAGACACAGAGCUAAGGCCGUGUCUCAUGGCUGCUUCCCACACCAGAUCAAUACGGUCAACGUCAAUGGCUCCAACCUCAUGAUGCUUCCAACCCUCCAGCAUAUGAACCACUCCUCCUGCAUGGCAUGCAUGCACCACUCCUCUCUCCAUUGUGUACUGCCGCAACACAACAAACACACACUUAAGAGUUUAGCCUAAUGGACUAAAAGGAUAAACACUCAAAUAAGACUUGAUUAGUAACCACAGUUCUUUAUACCUCGCAGGUUCCUAGUCCUUGAACAUCUUUAGGGAGCCUCAUAGCUGCAAGAUCACCAUAAGUGCAGUUCCUUCUAAAUUUGAGGAUUGGUGGCACCACAAACUGGUGGAAAUGCGUUCCUGCAGGAGCCCAGCUCUGUUCCCUUGGUGUCAACCAUUUCCCAACGAUCCAAGUCUGCAUAUACAUAGUUCAAACACCCCCAAAGUCAAUACAUUUACGUUAACACACCAAAUGAAAAACAGUUAGAACUCAGUACGCUACCUUGCAGUUUUGAGCAGCGUUGUAUUUGGUCACUUGCACGAGGUAGUUUUGGAACUCAGCAGGAGCUUCUUUCUGAAUCUUUUGGAAUCUCUCUAUCGACAUAGUCAACAUCUGUAAAUUGUUUUAACAUCUGUUAGACUCUGAGACAAUGUUAUUAGUUCGUUAAGGAUUAGUAAGAAAACUUACGAGAACUCUCACUCCACGACGACAGAGGUAAAGAGCAAUGGCUCUUCCCAGCUUAGAAGUGGCUCCUGUCAAGAACACCUCUUCCACACCUUUUGGAAUUUCAUUGAGAAUCACAGCUGCGGUUAAAGUGUUCCCAUGAACCACACGAACUCUAAGGUCAGGAUGCUUGUUCACAAACAACGUCCCACCACCAUUUAAAGCUUCGUUCUGAGAACAAACAAAAACAUAACAAAAAUAAGUAACCUUUUAAGUGACUUGACUCAGAAGUUACUAACUUGUACCUUGUUCAAAGCAGCCAAGCUUAUGACUUUAACACCAAUCUUAUCAGCUCUCAGAAUCGCAGCCUCUAUCUGAUCAUUAAUGCCUUGUGUAGCAAACGGUAAGAAGUACUGCAAAACAGAGGAAAAUGCUCUGUAAAACACUCUGUUCUCUCUGUUUUCAAGGGGAGUAGAAAGAAACAGAGAUAUUACUUGGAAUCCGAAUCUGGGAACUCCCCAAGUCUGGCAAAGAUUGUUUCUAAGGGUGUAGAAGCUGAAAAGAAAAGCCUUUGACCAAACCCACAUGCCUAACAUCACCAUGAAAGUGAACGGCCACAUGGGAAGCAAGAAGAGCCUCGUCGUGUAUGGCAUCGAAGCGAACGAUCUGAACACAAACGGUGCGUGCAUCGCCGACAUCACAUCUACCCCAUGAGCCAAGAACACAAACUCCGGCGCCCUCUUCCGUUCCCCUGCACACAAAGAUCAAUUCAGUUUUUCAAAAAAAAAAAACAAAAACUGUAACUUUGUGGUCAAGGAAGGGGUACUAUUGUCUUUUCAAGUCUUUGGCUUUACAUCCUUGACUCUGACCACUCAUAAAUUGGCUUAACCUGUUUGGUAUUGCUGCCAAAUUUAUUCAACUAGUCUGGUACUCUCUGUAGUGUCUGGGCUCACUUUGUCUCAAAAAUUUAUUUAUUCGAAGAUUUUUCUCGUUUCAAGAAGAGUAACAUUCUAUAUUUCCUUAUUUUAAGUAUUUGAUUAUUUUUGACCUUUUAAAUAACCAACAAAUUUCUAUUUAAAUUAUUUUCAUUUAAUUAAUUGUAUAUUAGAUAAAGUAUAAUUGUAUAUUUGACCCUUUUCGUCAAUGUGACACUUUUGCAUACGGAAGGAGUAAUAGUUUUGGUAUAUUAAAGCAUCUUCAACACCACUCUAUUUUUCACUCUAAAAUAGAGUUUAGAAUGAAAAAUGCUCUAAUGGUAUAUUAUUUAUCACUCUAUAAUAGAGUGAAAAAUAGGUUUACUCCAAAUGUAGAGUAAUUUGUUUUUUUUUGUUCAUCAUUCUAUUUUUACUCUAAAAUAGAAUGUACCAUUGGAACAAAUUCAAACUCUAUUAUAGAGUUACUCUAUUUUUUAGAGUAAGCCAUUGGAAAUGGUCUUAUUACCUGAAGCCAAACGAAUCUUCUUUUGGAGUUCCCAUGAGUUUGAGUUAAGUGUGUUGCCCAAAACAUCAAAGAGAGGCAUAAACAGACAGAAGUUGGUCCCCAUUUCUUGAUGAUGCAGAGCAUGGUACCUGCAUGAUCCCCACCAAUUAAAUCAAACUUUUAAACAUUUUUUUUAAAUUCAUCGCAAGUAAAAAUCAUAUUAUAUAUACAACUAUAAACUAUAGAAAUCUUUGCUUCUUAGAGUGAAAAUAUGACAAAGUCACGUUCGUGUGUGCCUUAUUCAAUGAAUAAGUUAGAGAGCCUUUAUUGGAAAACUUAUGGUGUGUGGAGGAGCCAAUAGAUCUAACCAAAUCCACACAAAAAAGUUAACAUGUGAAGUACUUUUCAGAAAGGGUAAUAAGAUACACGUUAACAACAUACGUUGGAGUGUAGAUGAGAUAACGUAGGAUUGGUAGAGUCUCGAAUAACUUGUGAGAGAAGAUUUCAACGUUGCAAUGUCCUAAACAUCUUAGGAAAUCAAACAUGAUAGCGUAUCCGUAGAUCAAGCUUAUUGAUCCAACACCUAACAAGCAAGAACCAAUCAAAGGAACUCCAGCUACGACACAUAGGAUAAGGUUUUCCAAUAACGUCGCAUUUCCAGCUGCACCCAACAGAUCAAAGAUUGUUACUAUUACAUAAAAACCAAAGAAACAUUCCUUUUUAUUACUAGUUACUAGUGAAUUUUUUUUUACCAGUCAUGGGAUGUGGAACAGGAGAUGAGUGGUGGAAAGAGUGGAAAUGCGUGAAGAAGUAGUUGUUGCGAUGAAAAGAUCUAUGAAGAUAAUAGUAUAAAGGCUCUGAGAAAGUCACAUGUAUCACAAUUAAUGCGAUUAGUCCUUUGGUGUUCCAGAGAGGUAUACUGUUCAUCAUCAUCAAUGAAGGAGACAUGUAACAGAUCAUGCUCGCUAUUAUUGCUUGCAGAAGUAUAUAAUUGUCCCUGUAAUAAAAACCCCACAUAUCAAAACGAUAACUUUCGGUGGUUUUGAGAGUGUUUAAGACCAUAUACCAAGAACAGAGAAACAAAAGUAAAAAAGUGGUUCUGUACCAGUGCCAUUCGUGAUCAAUCUGUUUAGAGUCAACACCAUUAGGGUUAAUCCUUAGAGUGCGAGUCACCCAAAGCAUGUUGUUGUAAACACUCCAAAGGACAUGAACGAGUCCUUUGAGUCCACAGAUGAUGAGGAUAUGAAGACACCAUAGAGCCCUCGAGUAGUCUUGUUCGUAUGUCCAUGAGUACACUACUUGUGCUGCUAGAGGAGCGUAUAGAAGAUACUUCAUAGAUAUAGAGAAAAAUAAACACAAAAACAAUAUGAGUUUUAGAAGAUGAAACCAAAUUUUAGAAAAGAAACUGAUCAAAUUUUAUCUCUGUAAGAAAAAGAAAAACAAACCUUAAGAUUGCCAUAGCUUUCCCAAGGCCAGACUGAUAAAGUAACCAUUCUUGGGCUUCUUGUACUCUAAGAUCUCUCUCUCUCUCUUAUUGGUCUAUAACCUUAAAGAUUUCUCCAGGUUUCAAGCAAUCCUGAGAAAAAGAUGUUGCUCUGUUUGUGGAAGUGAGAGAAAGAGAGAGAAACUGAUGGGGUUCUCUCUAAUCUCAAGAAAAGAGAUGGAGAUUUUUAGUUGAGGUUUUUAAGUUCGUUGAAAGAUUUAACCAAAGCCUAGUUGUGUGACAUUAGUGAGAGCCUCGAGCUUUGUUUACUUAUAUAAGCAUUGAAACUAGGAGGGCCAACUAGACCCCAACAUUUGUUCUUUUUAUCCCUCUCUCUAAUGAAUUUUAAAUACAGUAGUAAUUUUUAAAUCAAUAUUGUGAAGAAAAUAGUUUUCACCUGAAAAUAAAACUCUUACAGCAAUCAGUAUUCAGUGAUAAUUACUUUUAACUCUGCUCAAUCGUACAACAUUCACAUGCUAGUGCAGUUUUGGUAUCAACAUUUUUACUUUGAUGAACAGUUGAUGUUUUUAUUUCGAGUAUAAUUUGGAGUUUAGGAGUUAUUUAGUUUUGCUCCAACCAAAAGAACCGGAGAAAUAAUUCAAUCUUUUCAUUUUAUUAAAACUUACAAAAUCUUAAAAAUAUAUAUAACAACCCGUAAAAUGUCACAAAGGAAUUUUGAGGCCAAUAAACAACAAUAUCAAUACAAUGGAGAAACGAAAAUUCCACAUCCAUUGAAACAAAAAGCCAAAAUUUAAAAUAUCUUUUUGAUAAUGACUACUUACAAUUUAUAAUAGUCAUUAUUAGCGUGAAAAGGAAUGUUAACAGUUUUUUAAAUAAUUUAUAAAAGUAAAUUUACAAUUUAAUAAACUUUAAUUCAACAAAUUAAUAGAGAAAAUGAGAAAUAACUAUGUUGUAAUAUAAAAUAAAUGUAACUAUUUUAACUGAAAUUAUAUAAAUACCUAAUAAAUUUUGUAUAGUAUAUAUAAAACUAAUAUAUUUUACCAAAAUUUAUGUACAAAUAUCUAAUUUUAUAUCGGAACCAAUGUAAAUCAGAAAUGUUUGCAUUGUUUUCCUAAUGUAAAUGGCCGCAAAAACAAUCAUACAUGCAAACCAAACAGAUAACUAUAGCCUAUAGGUUUGUGUAUAUCAUUAUGGACAUAAUCUUUUUUUUUCGACGAAUUUAAAUUUUAUUAAUAUGAAAGUAUAAUAUCUGAAUACAAAGUUGGAGUUAACUAUUUAGGUGGAUAAACUUUACAAUUUUCAAAAAUAGAAUUUGCUGGACCAUGGCGAACAAUUUCAUGGGCGGCUUGAUUUCCAUUACGUUUGAUAAAAGUAAAUGUUGUUGUAGAAAGCUUAUUCUUCGAGCUAGUAUAUCAUUAUGGACAUAAUCAUAAUAAAUAUUAGUAUAAUAUAGAUUUUUUGUAAUUAAAAAUGUUGAACAGUCUUGUAACUAUUUUAGUGAUUUGUUUGAAUAUCUUUUUUUAAUACUUAACGACAUAGAAGUAUAACCAAUUGAUACAAUGGCAUAGCUUCACAGCUGGAUUAUAACUAUCUCACACGCAUUUAAUUUUCGGUUUACGGUUGAAGCGGCGAUGGUUACAGAUCUUGCCCUCGGUGGCUUCUUCGUAUACUCAAAUUUGUAUUCAACUUGUCCUCUUCUUCUACUUUUCUAACAUUUACUUAAACUUUUUAUGGUUUUUCAAACCACAAAUUAAUCCGCGUUUAUGUCACGUACACUAAAGCUUAGCAACAAAAGUUUUAAGCGCCUAAAAUAUAUCACGUGUAUAAAAGCAUUACUUAAUUAUCAUUUUAGAUUUGAACAUACAAAUUAUAAAAAUUUCUAAUUUUGUAUAUUUAUUAAAUAAAAACAUCAUUAAUAAAAAGAUAAAUUGGAAUAAAAAAUUAAUAAAUGAUACUUAUUUUGAAACAUCAAUUUUAUCUACAACGAAAACUAAACCGAAAAAAAAAGAAAGAACCAAUUUUGCUUUGGACAACAUUUACUAUAGGGUGCGUACAAUAGUGGUACUAUAAAAAUGUUAAUAGGGGUCAGGAUUUAAGAUUCAUAUAAAUGCCAUGAGUAAAAGAAUCAAAUGAUUCAAAUCGAAAGACUAGUAAAAAAAUAAAUCAUAAGCUAUAUAAUGUCAGCCAUUUAAUGCCUUGGCAAGAAAAAUCAUGUUUGUAUGCAGUUGCUAAUUUCCAUGUUUUGAUGUUCUCAUAUCUAGUUGGAAGUUAAUUUUAACAACUAAUUAAUGCGUAUAACACAUUAAACACCCUAAAAGCAUGUUCAGACUUGAAAACUAUACUACAAAAAGAAUAGUCUAAAACACACCGACUCGAUUGUGGUUACCAUGAUAAUAGGAACAUUACUGCCAAUUCAUUUGCAGUAUCUUCGAAAUGGAGUCACAUAUUGGACUGGCCAAGCUUAUGCAUGAUUGUAUGGAUCAAUACGGUCCAAGCAAUCGAACUGGAUAUAGUGAUCCUAAAUUAUACAAUUAAUAUUAAUAAUUUUUAAUUAUACAAUUAUUUCCGUUUAAAAUUUGUAAAAUCAUGAAUUAGAGAAUUAAUUAUGUCGGUGUUAGAAAUAAUGGUAGUUAGCGAAACUGAGUAUCAAUAAGGUAAAAACAUAAGCUAUUACUAUUAGCUCACUCCAUGCAAAACAUCAUAUAUUUUGCAGUAAACAAUUGAAUAAAAAUCAUUGCUAUGUGUGAUUAGUUUUAAAUUAAAAAUUCAUAAAAAAAUAUAAGUAAUCAUUUUGUACGUAGUGGUCAUUGGUUUAUUUAUGAUACAUAAUUAGGCCUAUACAUAAUAUAUUAACAAAUUAUAUGAAUGUGUUGAAAUAAGUCCCUUAAACACUGAUAUACACACAGAUGUGUGUCCUUCUUCUUAUAGGAUAGACAGGAAGGUGGAAUAUCGAAAGAAGGGGUUUAGAUUUAUCGUUUUGUAAGUUUAGGUUACUAUUUAAACCAUCCAAAAAGUGUAGAACCCCCAUAAUAGGAAACUGCAUUUGUUCAAACUGAAAAUAUAGAUGAAAGUAACAAAAGAUACGGAGCAUAUUGUUGAUCUUCAUUUUGUGGUCGUCAAAAAUAUUUUGGAUGUCUCUUUAUUGAUCUUGUAUCACAAGAUUCACAACGAAACUCCAACUGACUCUGAAAAGGAAACCACUUGAUAAAAUGAAUGUUUAUAAGAAAAAUGGAAAAACAUUUUACAAAAUUGUUAUCACACAUAAAUAUAAAUUUAUGUUCUUAAAAACCUAUAAAUGAUUAGACAGAUAAGUUGAUAACAAUGAUAAGUAUACAAAAUUGGCAUACUUGAAAACUAUAGAUGGUACUAUAUGGAAUAUAUAUAUUAACUUACUUUAUUAAUCCGGUUACAAGACAUCUGCAUAUUAUUAUAGGUUUCACUAAUGCAUGUUGAGCUACCCUGUGUACAUGUAUUGCGAGUUGGAUUAAGCAUGGUCUGAGUUUAUGCGCUGAGCCAUAUGUGGUUCUCCAGUGUCCACCGUGGUCAUAUACAUAUAGUAUAUAUUACAAAUUUAAAAGCCAAAUUAAAGAGAAGAUGGGGUCGACACAUUUGUAAUCAAUACAUAGGUUAGCCAGCCAAGUUCUUGAUUUAUGCGACUUUUAUUUAGUCGGUGAGGAGUUUACACGCCAGAUCAUAUGCUAAGGAGUUUACACGCCAGAUCAUAUACUACUAGAGUGUAUUCAGAAUCAUUAUAGGUAAAUUCAAAAAAAAUUAAUAUGUUUUUAGGUAAAUGAUUUAAAAUAUCUUCUAUAACUAUAUGAUUUGAAGUAUUAUUUUUAAUUAAAAACGCCCCAAAAAAUCUAUAAAAUUAUUAAAGGGUGAAUAAUCUAUUUUUCAAUAACUGAUAAACUGAAAAUUUUAAUAUAAUUUCAGUUUAAUCAUUUUAACAUUUCAUCUAUAGCUAUAUAAUUUGAAUUAUUAUUUUUCAAUUAAAAAACUAUAUAAAACGAAAGUAUUUUUCUUGAUUAUAAUAUAAAUCACAUUGAUUAAUUAGUCGGCUGGAGUCGUUUGCAAAAUCACCACCCAACGCCCAUAUUCUUAUGUACAUAGCCUAUAAGAGAUAAGAAGGC